This 496-nucleotide ribosomal RNA is filed under the name uncultured bacterium. RNAcentral describes it as "partial 16S ribosomal RNA". It matches the Rfam family "Bacterial small subunit ribosomal RNA", at positions 30 to 523 of the family's 1533-position model. The record is from RNAcentral.
AUUGAACGCUGGCGGAAUGCUUUACACAUGCAAGUCGAACGGUAGAGGGGGCAACCCCUCGAGAGUGGCGAACGGGUGAGUAAUAUAUCGGAACGUGCCCAGUCGUGGGGGAUAACGUAGCGAAAGUUACGCUAAUACCGCAUACGAUCUAAGGAUGAAAGCGGGGGAUCGCAAGACCUCGCGCGAUUGGAGCGGCCGAUAUCAGAUUAGGUAGUUGGGGGGGGAAAGGCUCACCAAGCCAACGAUCUGGAGCUGGUCUGAGAGGACGACCAGCCACACUGGAACUGAGACACGGUCCAGACUCCUACGGGAGGCAGCAGUGGGGAAUUUUGGACAAUGGACGCAAGUCUGAUCCAGCCAUUCCGCGUGCAGGAUGAAGGCCCUCGGGUUGUAAACUGCUUUUGUACGGAACGAAAAGGUCUCUCUUAAUACUAGGAGCUCAUGACGGUACUGUAAGAAUAAGCACCGGCUAACUACGUGCCAGCCGCCGCCGUAA